GCAACCUAGCAUGGAUAUUCCGAGUGCAUGAUUUUAUGACUUGAUGGUUGAUUUAGUAGAGCAGGAGGUGUUCCAGUUAUUUGAAAGAUAUAGGUGGUUGUUUCUAUAUAUGAGGCUGCCCCGAGGAAAUCUGUGGUGGUCUGGCCAUGAAGCUGUUUAUUUCCUCGAUGACAUUCAACUUUGUCACCGGUAGUUCUUACUGCUACUCAUCAGUACUUCAAGUCGUCAACAGAAAAAAACUAUGAUGCACAUUGUGGGCAAUCAUGGAGAGCUAGAUGAUGUUUGAUAAUAGCUACUGGUCUGACAUGAGCAAUGCCGGUCUUCUGGGAUUGGAAAGGUGUUUCGUGAAGCAACAAUCAUGCUACAAUCAAAUUUAAUGGCUAUUACAGCGGCAGAAAGGAGGAGGACGGCCUCCUGAUCCAGCGGGC
Long non-coding RNA from Triticum dicoccoides, 428 nucleotides. RefSeq lists it as uncharacterized. The record is from RefSeq and is a predicted model, not a curated record. Lineage: Eukaryota; Viridiplantae; Streptophyta; Magnoliopsida; Poales; Poaceae. The transcript has 3 exons.